GUCGACGGUGAAGCCAAGCUUGCUUGGUGGAUCAGUGGCGAACGGGUGAGUAACACGUGAGCAACCUGCCCUGGACUCUGGGAUAAGCGCUGGAAACGGCGUCUAAUACUGGAUAUGAGGCGUGAUCGCAUGGUCAACGUCUGGAAAGAUUUUUCGGUCUGGGAUGGGCUCGCGGCCUAUCAGCUUGUUGGUGAGGUAAUGGCUCACCAAGGCGUCGACGGGUAGCCGGCCUGAGAGGGUGACCGGCCACACUGGGACUGAGACACGGCCCAGACUCCUACGGGAGGCAGCAGUGGGGAAUAUUGCACAAUGGGCGGAAGCCUGAUGCAGCAACGCCGCGUGAGGGAUGACGGCCUUCGGGUUGUAAACCUCUUUUAGCAGGGAAGAAGCGAAAGUGACGGUACCUGCAGAAAAAGCGCCGGCUAACUACGUGCCAGCAGCCGCGGUAAUACGUAGGGCGCAAGCGUUAUCCGGAAUUAUUGGGCGUAAAGAGCUCGUAGGCGGUUUGUCGCGUCUGCUGUGAAAUCCCGAGGCUCAACCUCGGGCCUGCAGUGGGUACGGGCAGACUAGAGUGCGGUAGGGGAGAUUGGAAUUCCUGGUGUAGCGGUGGAAUGCGCAGAUAUCAGGAGGAACACCGAUGGCGAAGGCAGAUCUCUGGGCCGUAACUGACGCUGAGGAGCGAAAGGGUGGGGAGCAAACAGGCUUAGAUACCCUGGUAGUCCACCCCGUAAACGUUGGGAACUAGUUGUGGGGACCAUUCCACGGUUUCCGUGACGCAGCUAACGCAUUAAGUUCCCCGCCUGGGGAGUACGGCCGCAAGGCUAAAACUCAAAGGAAUUGACGGGGACCCGCACAAGCGGCGGAGCAUGCGGAUUAAUUCGAUGCAACGCGAAGAACCUUACCAAGGCUUGACAUACACCAGAACGGGCCAGAAAUGGUCAACUCUUUGGACACUGGUGAACAGGUGGUGCAUGGUUGUCGUCAGCUCGUGUCGUGAGAUGUUGGGUUAAGUCCCGCAACGAGCGCAACCCUCGUUCUAUGUUGCCAGCACGUAAUGGUGGGAACUCAUGGGAUACUGCCGGGGUCAA
RNAcentral lists this ribosomal RNA (1088 nucleotides) under Microbacterium testaceum. Its description in RNAcentral is "bacterial SSU rRNA". It matches the Rfam family "Bacterial small subunit ribosomal RNA", at positions 61 to 1161 of the family's 1533-position model. Lineage: Bacteria; Bacillati; Actinomycetota; Actinomycetes; Micrococcales; Microbacteriaceae. The record is from RNAcentral.